Molecule: ribosomal RNA, 468 nt
Filed under: uncultured bacterium
Lineage: Bacteria
Description: partial 16S ribosomal RNA
Rfam family: Bacterial small subunit ribosomal RNA
Source: RNAcentral
GACGAACGCUGGCGGCGUGCUUAACACAUGCAAGUCGAACGGAAAGGCCCUGCUUUUGUGGGGUGCUCGAGUGGCGAACGGGUGAGUAACACGUGAGUAACCUGCCCUUGACUUUGGGAUAACUUCAGGAAACUGGGGCUAAUACCGGAUAGGAGCUCCUGCUGCAUGGUGGGGGUUGGAAAGUUUCGGCGGUUGGGGAUGGACUCGCGGCUUAUCAGCUUGUUGGUGGGGUAGUGGCUUACCAAGGCUUUGACGGGUAGCCGGCCUGAGAGGGUUACCGGCCACAUUGGGACUGCGAUACGGCCCAGACUCCUACGGGAGGCAGCAGUGGGGAAUAUUGCACAAUGGGCGGAAGCCUGAUGCAGCAACGCCGCGUGCGUGAUGACGGCCUUCGGGUUGUAAACCGCUUUCGCCUGUGACGAAGCGUGAGUGACGGUAAUGGGUAAAGAAGCACCGGCUAACUACGUG